AGAGUUUGAUCCUGGCUCAGAACGAACGCUGGCGGCGUGCUUAACACAUGCAAGUCGAACGCGAAAGGGGCUUCGGUCCUGAGUAGAGUGGCGCACGGGUGAGUAACGCGUAGAUAACCUGUCCUGGUGUCUGGAAUAAUAUCUCGAAAGGGGUGCUAAUACCGGAUAUUCUUGCUUUCUAUAAGGUAUGCAAGGAAAGGUGGCCUCUGGAACAAGCUACUGCACGAGGAGGGGUCUGCGUACCAUUAGCUAGUAGGUGGGGUAAUGGCCUACCUAGGCGACGAUGGUUAGCGGGUCUGAGAGGAUGAUCCGCCACACUGGUACUGGAACACGGACCAGACUCCUACGGGAGGCAGCAGUGAGGAAUAUUGCGCAAUGGGGGCAACCCUGACGCAGCGACGCCGCGUGAGUGAGGAAGGCCUUCGGGUCGUAAAGCUCUGUCAAAGGGGAAGAAGUGCAUGGUGGUUAAUAUCUGUCAUGUUUGACGGUACCCUUAAAGGAAGCACCGGCUAACUCCGUGCCAGCAGCCGCGGUAAUACGGAGGGUGCAAGCGUUGUUCGGAAUCACUGGGCGUAAAGGGCGCGCAGGCGGUUUGAAUAGUCAGAUGUGAAAGCCCACGGCUUAACCGUGGAAGUGCAUUUGAAACUGUCAGACUUGAGUACCAGAGGGGAAAGUGGAAUUCCCGGUGUAGAGGUGAAAUUCGUAGAUAUCGGGAGGAAUACCGGUGGCGAAGGCGACUUUCUGGCUGGAUACUGACGCUGAGGCGCGAAAGCGUGGGGAGCAAACAGGAUUAGAUACCCUGGUAGUCCACGCUGUAAACGAUGUGCACUAGAUGUAGGGGGUGUUGAUCCCCUCUGUGUCGCAGCUAACGCAUUAAGUGCACCGCCUGGGAGUACGGUCGCAGAUUAAAACUCAAAGGAAUUGACGG
Molecule: ribosomal RNA, 928 nt
Filed under: uncultured bacterium
Lineage: Bacteria
Description: bacterial SSU rRNA
Rfam family: Bacterial small subunit ribosomal RNA
Source: RNAcentral